UCUAGCUUGCUAGACGGAUUAGUGGCGAACGGGUGAGUAAUGCUUAGGAAUCUGCCUAUUAGUGGGGGAUAACGUAGGGAAACUUACGCUAAUACCGCAUACGACCUACGGGUGAAAGGGGGCUUUUAGCUCUCGCUAAUAGAUGAGCCUAAGUCGGAUUAGCUGGUUGGUGGGGUAAAGGCCUACCAAGGCGACGAUCUGUAGCUGGUCUGAGAGGAUGAUCAGCCACACUGGGACUGAGACACGGCCCAGACUCCUACGGGAGGCAGCAGUGGGGAAUAUUGGACAAUGGGCGAAAGCCUGAUCCAGCCAUGCCGCGUGUGUGAAGAAGGCCUUUUGGUUGUAAAGCACUUUAAGUGGGGAGGAAAAGCUUAUGGUUAAUACCCAUAAGCCCUGACGUUACCCACAGAAUAAGCACCGGCUAACUCU
Molecule: ribosomal RNA, 429 nt
Filed under: uncultured Moraxella sp.
Lineage: Bacteria; Pseudomonadati; Pseudomonadota; Gammaproteobacteria; Moraxellales; Moraxellaceae
Description: bacterial SSU rRNA
Rfam family: Bacterial small subunit ribosomal RNA
Source: RNAcentral